GGUAACAAAAAUCAGUGUUGAACCUGAGACAGUCUGCAAAAUGUGAUGUUUGUUCUUAAAAGAGCAGAGCCAAAUCUUAAAUGCGGCCUUUCAAGUUUGUCAAGCUAUCUUAAAAGUUAUACUUUAAAAAACAAACACAUUUACAGUCUUUUGACAUAUAAUCAAAGUUGAGUUAGUAUGUAACAUUCAAAGUUGGUUUAGUGCUUGUAGCUUUAACAGCUUAAGACCAAUGUCUAAUUCAAAUAAUUAUCAAUCAAGCCUAUGGAGCUUUAAGCAGUUAUAGUUCAGAAAGUAGAAAAGGUAUCAGAAAUGUAUACAAACUUUUUUGUAUACAAAACUAGACCGUCUACAGAGGAAUUUGUUAUAUGUUCAAUGGAAUUGGUUAUAUCAACAUGUUUUCUUCAAGCAAACUGAGGACAUUGAGCUUGCAUGUUUUAAAUUAGUUUUGGUCUCUGUAGCAUUUAAGGUUUUGGCCCUAUAUAUGGCAGCAGAAGGCUAAUUAAUAAUAAUUAUUAUUAUUGCGAAUAAGCUUUCAGCAAGCACACCUAAUAAUUAUAAUAAUAUAAACUUGCUUACUUAAUGUAAUCCUUCGCCAACAGCACUGGGUCAGGUUAUGUUAACAGGAUGAAUGGCUUGCCUGACUACCCAAACUGCUUGCCCCCCAGGCAAAAAAAAAAUCUCUGUAAGGAGUCUGAAUGUGAGUACACAUAAGAUGAUUUCAAUAUUGCAAAACCAAUCUUAUUGUUCUAAUUUGUCCCAGAAACCGCCACAGCCAGAACACGUGUGAGUAAAGUUAUGUUUCCGAAAUGCCAUUGGCUUCAGUACAGAUUGGUGAGAGAUAAACUGAUCACUAAUGACUUGGUUUUUAAAAACAUCCCCUAAUAUUGAUGUCAACAAACAACUGCAAUGGAAUGAAUCUCAGACUGAAGUGGCAAACAAUAGUACAGUCAAAUAUUUCUGUUUGAUUCAUUAGACCAAUAAAUGGCAUGGACGGGGUAACCUUACAGAACAUGAGUGUAGCCAGAAUAAUAUAAAACAGAAUGUAAUGGACAGUUCAGUUACUAUACAACAUUUAGCAAAAGUUGUGUCUUUGCAUGUAUGCGCCGCUCACCUGGGAAUUUCUUAUUAUCAACAAUGAUUAGCGCUUCAAAACAAAUCAACUAUUAGUAUUUUCAACAAUAAAUAUAUAUAUAUACUCAGACUCGUUGGACCUUUCCAUAUACAGUGCCGAGGUAACAUACCACAGAAAUACAAGGAUUUACGAGGGCUAGACAGAACUAUAACGGACAUUGUCAUGCAAACAAUGACGCGCUACGGGUAUAAAUCCACAGACACAUGAAACAUCCAACCACCACCCCACUUUCACCAGCUCUACAGCCCAGUAAAUUAGCAUGUAUGCUGUCACUGUAGGCCGACUGACACUAUGUGCUGCACUGUGAGUGAUUUUAAGGGGGCAGGAUGGCUUUACACCCUAUUGUCAACACAAGCAAUGGUCCCACACUGUAAAUAUAUCUACCCGGUUAAAAUACUCCUAACGGGGGGGAAGCUGUUCCAGCUGGUGGAGCCUAUACAUUCAGACAGUCACUGUAUAGUUUUCAGCAGAAAGGCAGACGUAAUGAACAACAUACUGGACACGCUAAAUGAAUUAGGUUAUCACUGUUCCUUCACGGCUGCAUACACUAAGACACUAAGCAUCAGGUCAAAAUGCACUGCAUGCAUACCCAGCCAUCUUUCCCUACUGUUGUAAUCUCCCCCCCCCAUCUACAUGCUGGGAACCCUCUUGUCUGCCGUCAUAUCUUUCUGUUUUCUCCAGUGUAAUGAAAUGCAGAAUGGAUUUGGGGGGAGUAAAAUGUAUUUUCAUUUAGAUUAAAAAAACAAGUGAUUGUGGAGGAAAGACAAUGGGUUUUGGCUGUUUAUGCCAGGUGCCCAGACAGAGGCCAGCCUCCAUCUGCUGGAGAGGCCCUGGUGGCAGCCAGUCAGACGGACACAUAUUAAUGUGGGAAAUCGUCUAGCCAUGCUCUCAGACCCCCACACACAUCACACUGCAUUUCAUCUCAAAGGAGCCCUGCCUAAAUCCCUCAUUUAUUAACCCUAUGGUGUGGCUGUGGGUGGAGCUGUAUAUGUUACGUAGGCUCUGAGUCAUAAACAGAUAGGGCCUCACUUUCCAGAUCAGAGAAGUAGUAUCUAGGACUGGAAGCAGGGAGGAAAGAGAAUUUAACUGAUAAGAGGUAAAUAUGGGAUUAAAUGUUAAGGUUAUGGAAUGUAAAUUAAUUGGAUUGGAUCUGAUGUGUUCAUGGCUCUGAGUUGUUUAAAUAUAUUUGGAAUAGGCGGCCCAAACAGUGACCCAUUUUCAAAUAGGUGAUGUUACAGACAAACAAUAAAACCUCUACAUUUGUAUACUUCUUUUGCAUCAGCCAGCAAUGUAGCACUACCUUCGUUUUAAUUAAGUUUUCACAAAGCAAUAAUUUAGAGCUAUGACUCAUGCUAAGAAAAGAAUGGAGCUUACACUACUUAUGUUUGUCCAAUUUUGGUGCUUUUAAAUAUUGUACAGUCUACCAUAUAGCAAAUAGCAUAUUGACAAAGACAAAUUAAUAUCCAGUGAAGGGUUACUGGAUCAAAACCCUGAGCGUGCAAGGUGGAAACAGUUGGUCAGUCCUCUUUUCUCAGUCACACUUAUCGGGUAAAACAAGGGUUAAGGUAAAAAAGCAUGCUAUGUCCGACAUCUUGUCAAAAUCUCAGCCUAUACCCUUCAUGAACAUCCCACACAUUCACAAAACAGUCCAGUAAAAAGUUCUGGAGAAUCCUAGGUGACUGUAUAGCCAGGCCAAGCCCUGUCUGUACUGCAGCAGGCUGAUCCAGCCAGUCCAGCUAUGGUGCAGUCUACUCUGUCCUCUCCACACAUGUCUAUGGUGCAGUCUCCUCUGUCCUCUCCACACAUGUCUAUGGUGCAGUCUCCUCUGUCCUCUCCACACAUGUCUAUGGUGCAGUCUCCUCUGUCCUCUCCACACAUGUCAGUGCUGCAGUCUACUCUGUCCUCUCCACACAUGUCUAUGGUGCAGUCUCCUCUCUCCUCUCCACACAUGUCAGUGGUGCAGUCUCCUCUCUCUCCACACAUGUCUAUGGUGCAGUCUCCUCUGUCCUCUCCACAAAUGUCAGUGCUGCAGUCUACUCUGUCCUCUCCACACAUGUCUAUGGUGCAGUCUCCUCUGUCCUCUCCACACAUGUCUAUGGUGCAGUCUCAUCUGUCCUCUUCACACAUGUACAAACCACAGCCAAGGUAGCUAGCUAGCUUGACAUUCAACAGGCCAGCGUAAAAGACAUCUCAGGACCAGAAAGUGGCUUCAAGUGGAUCGAGCUGCAGUGAGAUUGAUGACGGACACCUGUCCAUCCAAAACAGCUAACCCAUACAUAGGCCCUGACAUCAAGUAAUAUCUCACCACCCAGCAAACCUGGGGGCCUUAUCUUGCCCUCACAAUUGCCUCAGAUCACUAAGUAGUCAACUUUGGAGUCCAGAGAGCAUCCAGAGUAUGCCUGCCAAUUAUAUAUCCCUCAGUAUAUUUACUGCAGCGCAGGCCUAACUUUUAUUGUGAUCUUUAAUCAGAUCAACAGCUGUCAGAGACAGUAACCAGACUGUAAAAGGUAUAUGGCCAAUACGAAAAACACACAACUUAAAGUGCAGUGAAUUACUCAAUGAAUUAUAAAGGAUGCUUUGGCGUAGUACAGCCACAUUAACACAUGUCAAUAUACCACUCUUUCUUUCCACCCUACUCAGAAUUUAUUGAGUGGACAACAAUGAGUGUAGUGGUUUAAGUAGACCUUCUGAUAGUUCAUCAUCAUUAUCAUCAUCAUUAUUGACCUCCUGAUAGGUCUAUCAUCAUUAUAGACCUACUGAUAGGUCAUCAUCAUUAGCAUUAUCAUUAAAAACCUCCUGACAGGUCCAUCAUAAUUAUCUUCAUUAUAGACCUACGGAUAGGUCAUCAUCAUUAGCAUCAUCAUUAUAGACCUCCUGAUAAGUCAUCAUCAUUACUAUUAUUAUAGACCAACUGAUAGGUCCAUCAUAAUUAUCUUCAUUAUAGACCUCCUGAUAGGUCAUCAUCGUUAUAGACCUAUUGAUAGUUCAUCAUCAAUAUCAUUAUAGACCUAGUGAUGGGCCGUCACCAUUAUCAGCAUAGACCUCCUAACAGGUCCAUCAUUGUUAUCAUCAUUAUAGACCUCCUGAUAUGUCCAUCAUCAUUAUAGACUUCCUGAUAGGUCCAUCAUCACUAUCGUCAUUAUAGAUCUACUGAUAGGUCCAUCAUCAUUAUUAUCAUUAUAGACCAACUGAUAAGUAAUCAUCAUCAUUAUAAUCAUUACAGACAUCCUGAUAGGUCCAUUAUCAUUAUCAUCAUUAUGGACCUACUGAUUGGUCAUCCUCAUCAUUUUCGUCAUUACAGAUCUCCUGAUAGGUCAUCAUCAUUAUCAUCAUUACAGUCCUCCUGAUAGGCCAGCAUCAUUAUCAUCAUCAUCAUAGACCUCCUAAUAAGUCAACAUCAUUAUCAUCACUAUAGACCUACUAAUAGGUCAUCAUCCUUAACAAUUUGUAGACCAUCUGAUAGGUCCAUCAUCAUUACCAUAAUUGUAGACCUCCUUAUAGGUCCACAUCAUUAUAGACCUACUGAUAGGUCCAUCAUAAUUAUCAUCAUUAUAGAUCUACUGAUAGGUCAUCAUCAUCAGGAUACAUGUGCUUGGUCUUGAUGCUAUCUCUGGAAGCAGGGAAUCCAGAAAGCUGACAUUUUGUUUUCUCCUGUGAAGUUUCAGGCUCGUAUGUCCUUGUCUGUACAUAUCUGUUGGAUACAUAGGGUUGGUCUUGAUGCUAUCUCUGGAAGCAGGGAACCCAGAAAGCUGACAUUUUGUUUUCUCCUCUGAAGCUUUGGGUUCAUUCUAAUAACAGCCUCACACAGGCCCAAAGUUAGGAUAAAACAAACACCUACAAUGUCCUAUUUGACAGGGCUAUAAGCACCUUGAUUAACAAAACAGCUGUAGGCACAGGAUAAUGUUGGUGAUGAAGACAUUGCUUGACAAGAUGACCCCCCCCCCCCCACACACACACACACAACAGCAAUACAAGCAGCAGUACCACUUUCUCAACGACCUCAAUCCUGUGGGUUAAAAAAUGAUAAGCAACUCUUUCUAGACACUCCACUGUGCCCCCUAUCAUAAACUUUCAGAAAGAAAAUAAAAAGGGCAGUAAACUCAUUGCUCUUUGAUCUGAGGAGCAAGGCACUGCAGCUUGGCAACACACUUAAGCCACAGGCCAGCCAUAUGUGCAUUAGGUCUGAUUGUUAUAUUCCAUAUCUCAUGAUAGCAGCCAGCAUACAGGGGCUACUGUCAGUAGGGCACGUGACUCACUAGAACGGAACGGACCAAUCAGCUGAAACAGUUCUCUCUAUAACCCGUUUCUUCUCACCUCCGGGUCAUACACCGAACCCUAAUUACAUAAUGAAUGAAAUAGCCCACAAAUCAAGCAAAAUGUAUAUGGCACUGUCAGUCCCUUCAAUUAAUCCUCAUCUAUAGAUUUCGGGUACCACUGACGCGACCAACCAAUAUCACUGUUUGAAUGGAUGCUUUCUCCGGCAGAAACGAUGAUGCGAUUCUGACUACUGUCUCCGCAAUACAUUCCCUGUGAAUACCAUUCCGGGCUAUAGAUCCGAUUUAAGAAGACAUUAAUUCCAUCAAUACCACCCUGGUCCACCGGAACGUACACGGCGGCGUUUUAUGGUGCCUUCAGCGGGUACAGCUUGCUCUCAGUUUCAGGGCUCGCUGCCUUCCUCCGACAGCCCCCGGUCCACAUUCGCCGCGCUCCAUUCGCGGUUAGUGAAGUCUGC
This is a long non-coding RNA of Esox lucius (northern pike), 5864 nucleotides long. NCBI's taxonomy places the organism in Eukaryota, Metazoa, Chordata, Actinopteri, Esociformes, Esocidae. The record is from Ensembl.